Molecule: long non-coding RNA, 263 nt
Filed under: Mytilus galloprovincialis (Mediterranean mussel)
Lineage: Eukaryota; Metazoa; Mollusca; Bivalvia; Mytilida; Mytilidae
Source: RNAcentral
AUCACUUAUGGUUUACCAGCUAGAAAUGCAUAUCACUUAUAUCAUAUAUAAAAGGGGGGAUAACUCUCAUAUGGAGUCUCCGGAUAGCUCGGUCAAAACCAAACAGAACAUCCUGAGGAUAUAACGAGCAAUUUGGAAAAAUAAAUUUGUCGGUUUCUUAUACGGUUGCGAAGCCUUAGAGGACACAAGAAAAACAGUGUUCGGGGAGAUAACUCUUACAAGGUAAAGUUUUUUGUUACGCGGUGUCAGUUUCAGAAGCGCAU